This 269-nucleotide unclassified non-coding RNA is filed under the name Hevea brasiliensis (rubber tree). Lineage: Eukaryota; Viridiplantae; Streptophyta; Magnoliopsida; Malpighiales; Euphorbiaceae. The record is from RNAcentral.
GCUUCUUUCUAUAAAAUACAAAGCGGGGAGGUUGAAGAGGCAUCGGAGAAAGCCUAAGAACUAACAAGAAGAUAAAGAAAAACCAUACCCUUUCAACAUGGGAGUAGAAGCCUUGCCCAGGAACGGUGAUAUUGCUUCUGUUGCUGCUUGUCCUCAUCCUCUUAUACUGGGUCUCCAGCCUGCCGCUCUCAUAGACCACGUUGCCCGUGUCGAUUGGUCCUUGCUGGAUCAAAUACCCGGUGACCGCGGUGGCUCCAUACCCGUUGCAA